Molecule: long non-coding RNA, 819 nt
Organism: Cercocebus atys (sooty mangabey)
Lineage: Eukaryota; Metazoa; Chordata; Mammalia; Primates; Cercopithecidae
Exons: 3
Source: RefSeq, a predicted model, not a curated record
CCCAGGCGUGCCAUUCUGGCCACCCGAUCUCCAGGCAGAGCUGCACCCUGUCUGUCCAGGACCAUCCCUUCAAAGGAGAGGUCACGUUCUUCCCGAAUUACCCUUCUGCUCUUUGCUAUUCUCCAACGCAGAUAGAGCUAACUCAAUCCCUUUUUCUGCGCUAAAAACCAAAUUCCAUUUUUUUUUCUCCUUAAGAGUGUGUAUGGGGAAGAAUGGAUGAUAAAUUGCCAAUGAAGUGUUCUCUUUGUCAGCUGUUGAGCAAGGUCCUAACAGAUACCUGUUCCAGAAUGCCUUUGAUAGAAACGUGCAGAGACAAGAUACCCAGCUGCAUCAGGUUGGCCUCAUGGAAGCCUGAGAGGUCAUGAAGGACCUGGCGUUCCCUCGUUGUUCCCGUCUCUUGCCAUCUCCAUCAUCCAGGGCCGGUGGUCCACUUUGAGCUCUCUGUGCUCCUUCCUCUGUCUGCCUCAGGAUGAGGGGCAGGAAUAAAAUAACAUGAAGGAAGGAGGAAGCAAGAGGAAUGAGAGAUCACCAUGGCGGGUGUUCACCUGUGUGGACUGCUAAACUCCACUUCCAUCCAAAGGACUGGAGUCACGGAGAGAUCAGGAAACUGAACAGGAGAACCAGCCCCAGGAGCCUCCUUAACUGAAACACUUAGGAGGGUCUGGUGAAAAGAAGUAAGAUGGAACAGAGUUUGGAAAGGGGUGAAGAAAGAACCAGCACCCAGCACUCUGAGCUUUCGGAUACUUUGUGAGGACAGGACAUUUUUUUUUUUUUUUUAAAGAGAUGGGGUCUCCCUGUGUUACCCAGGCUGGCCUCAAA